UACAUUUUUGUUUGAACAUCUGCUUUCAGUUCUUUUUGGUAUAUACCUAGGAGUGGAAUUGCUGGGUCAAGCGGUAAUUCUGUGCUUAACUUGAUGAACCACCGAACUGUUUUCCAUGGUGGCUGCACCUGCAUCAUUUUGCAUUCCCACCAGUGGUGAUGAAGCUUCCAAUUUCUCCCAGAUCAUGAUUUAACACUCAUUUUUAUUAAAUGCAACAACCCUUCCUGCAUCUGGCCUGAGUGUCCUGGGCCAGCCAACUGCUUGCUCUCCAUCUUUCCUGUUUGGUCAGAGGCCCUGGGUGCAGCCAGUGGGUUACGCACUCUGAUCCCCUCAGUGACUUCUCCUGGGAGGUCACCAAGGAUACUCAUUCAGUCAGGUCUUCCAGAGCCACAGUGUUGAUCCUGCAGUGAGGACAUGAGUGUGCAGUGACUGGACUCUCUCAGGCAGUCGUGGAAGCAGAGGAUUGCUCUGGCCAGCCUGGAGACAGUUCCCAUUGGUUCCUGGACUUGAUCUGAAUCAACUCCUUCUUCCUCACCAUCUCUUGCCUGGUGCUGCUGGCUGAGACGUUGCACCUGUGGGGGCUGUCCACUCCCAGCUCACGUCUUCUGGCAGCUCCUUACUCUAUUCUAAUGCGCCUAGUGGUACUGCCGAUUUUCUCUUUUCCCAGACACCUCUCUCCACACUCCUUCUCCCACAUUGGCCUGGCCCUCAUGGCUCUUUGAUCCUCAUGGAACAUUCUAUUGUCUCCUAGGUGAGAAGAAAAGGCAUCCCAGCUUAUAUUCAGACACAUGGCCUUGAACUCGUAAUAACUCACACAUGUAAGCCACAAUAACUUCAUUUGCAUGCAACCACCUUGAAUGAAUGGUCUCAGUAAAUGUGUCAUUUAUUCUCAAUAUUCUGGAGUGCUGGAAAAAAUGGGGAGUCAAAGGAUCCCUCAGUCUGCUGGUGUGACCUGGGGCACCCAUCCCUGUUCCCUCUCCUCUUACAUGGGAUAAAACCCCAGUGGAGCCGUGUCUCUGGAUCACUGUGAUGGAUUAGGUGUUCUGCUGAGAGCUGGGCUGUCUGCUUAGAAAUCAGCCUCCAGGCCUGACUUUUGGCCUCUGCCCCGCCUGUGGAGUCGGUGCGGGCUCCAGAUUCCAGAGGCGAAGGAUACAUCCUAGUGCCAGCUCAGAUCUGAAACAGGCGUGCCCUUCGUUUUCAGACAACUUCUGUAGCAGAUGAUAUGGUGUGCUCUCAGAUGCUGCUUCAGAGUGAAGGCACUCAUUCCCCGGCUGUCAGGAAGCUGACUGGUGAUGGGUCACAGAUUAAUAGUUUCCUUUGUAUUUCUUUUCCUCCUGGAUCAACCCUGUUCAACAGAAGUAUAUCAAGGCCACAUUUGUGAUUUAAACUUUUCUAGCAGCCAUGAAGGCAUGACUCAUUGGGGAUCAUCUUAGAAUCCUGCUUACCACACACGUUAAAAAAGGUUUAAAGAAGCAAAAUUAGUUUUAAAAAAAUGCGUUGUUAUUAUUUUAUAGAGACAGGGUCUCACUAUGUUUCCUAGGCUGGUCUCAAACUCCUGGGCUCAAGCAAUCCUCCUGCCUCAGCUUCCCAAAGUGCUGAGAUACAGUGUGAGCUACUGCAUCAGGCUCCAGAUUAAUUUUAACAAUACAUUUUACUGGAUCUAAUAUAACCAGAAUAUUAUCAUUUCAAAAUAUAUUUGGAGUAAAAAUGAUUAUGGAUAUAUAUAUAGAGAGAGUGUAUUUUGAAAGCCAGUGUGUGUUUUAUACUUAGAGCACGUCUCAGUUCGCACCAGCCACAUUUCAAGGGUUUGACAGCCACGUGUACUAGUAGUGGCUGCUGCACUACACGGUGCACUUCUAGAGGGUUCAAAGUUUCCAUUAAAAUUGUAUUCUAGGACACCAGCCAAAAUGGCAAAUAAGGAUCUCCGAAAAUUCCCUCCUCCAUAAAAGCAACAAGAACAUUAUCAAAAAAUGUCAGAAUCAACGUUUUCAGAACUUUGGAAAUUAACCAAAGGCUUGCAGCAAUCUGGGAAACAUUUAUUUAAGAAAACAGCAGAAUCUUGGUAAGAACAGGGAGCUUUGUGGCACUUUAACUUGCCGUAUUCCCAUCCCCACCCUCCCCAGCACCACAUUAGCUGUGAAAUCCAACAGCCUGCAAAACGACCUGUGACCACAGGGGAAAGUCCGGCAGUCACUGGAAGGGCUUAGAGCUCCUCAAGGCCCAUUCUCGGAGAAUUGUCAUUAUUUGACCUCUCUGGUCACACUACUUGCAAGGCUGUUUUUAUUUGAGCUGACUUAGAGCUCAUCCAGCACAAAUAAAAGCAGCCUUGAGAGUAGGGUCAAUUAUUGAACCUCACAGCUGACUGAGGUAGUGGAUAACAAGUGGGAUAGACAAUGUGCUAACCAAAAAACAUAAAAGAAAAAGCAGAGGAAUGGGAUGUCCUUGGAGAGAGUGGGCGCUUUAAAAAGUUCUAACAAUAUUCCUGGGAAUAUAGAAAGCCAUACAAAUGUUUAGGGCUGUGUGGACACCCAGUGCUGUGUGUGUGCCCAGGAAAUAUCCAAGAAGACCCUGGCUCUCACCUCUGGCCAACCUUGAGCCUCUGCUGAAGCAGGAAGUGAAGGCUAAGAUGGAGCUGUAAGGUGCUUGGCUGAAUGCUGAAGGAAACACACGCAGAACUUCUUGGUAAAGACUGAGAGUCUUAUUGGUUCCAGUCAUCUAAGGAAGUCUUUGUUGAAUCAUUAAAUGACCACUAAGCUAACUGGUCGAGACUCACUGGCCACACAAAACAAAGAAUAUACCUUUAUAGAAUUAGUUCAGGAAAGUCACCAACCAUCCAACCAAACAAUACCAAUUAAAUAGUAACAACAACAAACCCAGGGCAAAAUCUGAUUUCCAGAGUUGCUAUGUUAUAUUGUUUUAAAAGUCUAGUUUUUACCAAAAAUUAUGAAACACGCCAAGAAACAAGAGAGUCUGUCUCAUAUGCAGGGAAAAAGACACUCAAUAGAAACUGUCCCCAAGAGGGCACAGACACUGGAUUUUCUAUACAAAGACUUAAAUCAACUAUGUUAAAUAUGUUUUAAAAACCCUAAAAAACUAAAGGAAACCGUGGCUAUACAGGGAAAAAUGUCUCAUAUACAGAAACUCCUAAGGAAUCCACAAAACACAAGAUCAAUAUACAAAAAUCAAUUUUGUUUCCGUAAGCUAGCAGUGAACAACACAAAAAUGAAAUUAAGAAAAACAAUUCCACUUAGUAUCCAAAAAUGUUUAGGAAUAAAUUUAAUGAAAGAAGUGUAAGACUUUUAACUGAAAACUCUCAAACAUUGGUGAAAGAAAUUAAAGAAGACCUACAUAAAUGGAAAGACAUUCCUGUGUUCAUGGACUGGAAAAUGGCAAUUUUCUCCAAAUUGAAAUCACUAUAAAAAUUCCAGAUGCUGGGCUUUUUUUUUGUUUUGUUUUGUUUUAGAAAUUGAGAAGCUGAUUCUAAAAUUCAUAUAUAAAUUCAAGGGAUCCACAAUAGCUAAAACAAUCCUGAAAAAGAAUAACAAAAUUGGAGGACUCACAUUUCCCAGUUUCAAAACAUAAGCUACAGUAAUCAAGACUGUGUGGUUCUGACCUAAGGAUAGACAUAGACAAUGGAAUAGAAUUAAAAGUCCAGAAAUAAACCCAUAUAUUUAUAGUCAAUUGAUUUUCAACAAUAGUGCCAGGACAUUCAAUGGGGGGAAAAUAGUCUUUUCAACAACUGGUGCUGAGAUAACUGGAUAUCCACAUGCACAAAAGAAGAAAUUGGAUCCCUUACCUUACACCAUAUACAAAAUUUAACUCAAAAUGGAUCAAAGACUUUGCUGUAAGACUCUUAGGAGAGAGCAUAGAUGUAAAUAAUCAUUACCUUUAAUUAAGCAAGUUUCUUGGCUAUGACACUAAAAGCAUAAGCAAUCAAAGAAAAAAUAGAUAAAUUGGACUUCAUCAAAAUUUUAAAAAUCUGUGCUUCAAAGUACACGAUCAAGAAAGGAAAAAGACAAGUCACAGAGUGGGAGGAAAUAUUGUUGAAUCACAUGUCUGAUAAGGGUCUAGUAUCCAGAAUAUAUUGUUGGGGCUCAGAAAACAUUACCCCCAAAUAGGACACUUUGACAUGAAGCAACCUCGAGGUCUCUCUGACCUCCCUGGUCCCUGCACCCGACUAUUCCUCUGUCUCUCUCAAAGCACAGAAUGUAGUUGUUCACUGAAAUUCCCUUAUCUACCUAGACACUGAACCUACUAAAGAGAAACACAAUUGCCUUCCCUGAAAUUUAACUAGAGAAGAAUAAACUCAUAACACAGAGGAAGAGAUUGAAAAUUAAACACCAGACAAACUUUGUCCCAAACCACUGUCUUCUCUCUGUCCCAUUCAAUUUCCAAAGAAAACUAUUUACUAACCAUUGUCUGAGCAUUAGACCCAUUCAUUUCCCCUAAAAAUCAUUUACUAUCCCUCAAAUCAGCCACAUUUCCCCAUGUUCUUUUUCCCUAUGAAGAAGAAUAUAUAAGCAUGUGUAUCCCUUUGGGUUACUGGGUAAUUAUUCUCCUGCAAUUCCAAUGUGAUGUGUUAAAAUAAAUCUGUAUGCUUUUUUCUUCUAUUAA
Long non-coding RNA from Homo sapiens (human), 4614 nucleotides. RefSeq lists it as uncharacterized. NCBI's taxonomy places the organism in Eukaryota, Metazoa, Chordata, Mammalia, Primates, Hominidae. The record is from RefSeq and is a predicted model, not a curated record. The transcript has 4 exons.